This 253-nucleotide ribosomal RNA is filed under the name uncultured bacterium. RNAcentral's name for it is "partial 16S ribosomal RNA". It matches the Rfam family "Bacterial small subunit ribosomal RNA", at positions 524 to 776 of the family's 1533-position model. The record is from RNAcentral.
UACGUAGGGUGCAAGCGUUGUCCGGAAUUAUUGGGCGUAAAGAGCUCGUAGGCGGUCUGUCGCGUCUGCUGUGAAAACUCAGGGCUUAACCCUGAGCUUGCAGUGGGUACGGGCAGACUAGAGUGCGGUAGGGGAGACUGGAAUUCCCGGUGUAGUGGUGAAAUGCGUAGAUAUCGGGAGGAACACCAGUGGCGAAGGCGGCCACCUGGACUGCACCUGACGCUGACACGCGAAAGCUAGGGGAGCGAACGGG